AUCCAGCUGAUGAGUCCCAAAUUGGACGAAACGCGCGUCCUGGAU
Molecule: non-coding RNA, 45 nt
Filed under: Schistosoma margrebowiei
Lineage: Eukaryota; Metazoa; Platyhelminthes; Trematoda; Strigeidida; Schistosomatidae
Source: RNAcentral